GACUGAAAGCUGGCUGGAUGAAUGGCCAAAGUUGAUGUCAUUUUGAUGUUGUGGUUAACACAGCUAUAUGGUUUACAGCAGAUGUGGUGUUCAAAUACCACAGAGUGCAAGUCAUACGGCUCCUCUUUUGGUGCUUCAAUAGAACCUCCCUCCUCUAUGAACCGCAUACAGUAAUUGUUUGGCUGAGGACUGGCAAGCCAGGAGGUCUGCACCAGGCUCCAAUCUGAUCUACCAAGGUUUCUACAGCUGGAUGCCAUUCCUAACGCCAACCACUCAGAGAGUGUAGUGGGUGCUUUUUACGUGCCACCAGCACUAGCAAGGUUUUGUUGGAGAGUUCCUGAAGUCUUACAUGUGUAGCAGGCUUGCUACCUGCAGCCUACAGUACAAUUAUUAUUAUUGCCGGGCGAAAUGCUUAGCGGUAUUUCGUCUGCUGUUACAUUCUGAGUUCAAAUUCCGCCAAGGUCGACUUUGCCUUUCAUCCUUUCGGGGUCGAUUAAAUAAGUACCAGUUAAUCACUAGGGGUCGAUGUAAUCGACCUAAUCCUCCACCCUUGUCUGUCCUUGUUUGUCCCCUCUAUGUUUAGCCCCCUGUGGGCAAUAAAGAAAUAAAUUAUUAUUAUUAUUAUUAUUAUUAUUAUUAUUAUCAUUUCUAUUAUCAUUAUGACAUAAUCAAUCAUUCAAAGUUGACUAGUAUUUCCUAACAACAAAAUCCAAAUAGCUUUAGUAGUAUUAGAAACAAGAAAAUCCAUCCCAGUAAUCCAGCUUCUUUAUCAACACAGCCACUUAGAAUAGAACUAAAAUCAUUCAUUUUCUGAUGCAUUUUAGCCACAGGAGAGUUUAUAACAUCAUACUGAGAGAUAUUUUUUAAAGUCCCCCACUCUAACUCCAAGAAAAAAAAACUCCACCCUCAAUUUCUAAAGAAGCUUCAAAAUAUCUCUCAACAUUUUAUCAUUAAGAAAGGCCCCAAUUCCGAGAGGAAAUUUUCCAACCUUCCUUAAAUCCAGACAUGUAAUAUAAGUUACCAUUGAUAUGUAAUAUAUACAGUGCAACAUUUCAUUCAGAAGCUAUGUCUUAUCUUUAGAAUAUCUUGGGAGUCGGGUUGUAAUAUAAGCCACUGGUAAUAAAAUAUCCCCACCCAACAUUAAUUUAGCUUUAAAUAUAAAUCAGAAGAAAAGGGUAGCUAAGGAAUGAAUAUUUAGAUUUUGUUACUAUUUCUAAACUGAUGUUACUGUACCGGAUUGCAGAGGGAGACUUUCAGUAACCAAACUUGUAUAAUUUAAUUUGGUUCCUGCUGGACCUAUUCCACAUCAUUUACAUCUCUCAUAUCCUUCAGAUCAAGCAAGCAGACAUAUUAUAACUAUCCAUUUCUGCUCCAUUAAAAAUUCUUAAUGUAUUAAAGUUUCCAUAUCUGUGUAAUAAAUAUCA
Molecule: long non-coding RNA, 1424 nt
Organism: Octopus bimaculoides (California two-spot octopus)
Lineage: Eukaryota; Metazoa; Mollusca; Cephalopoda; Octopoda; Octopodidae
Source: RefSeq, a predicted model, not a curated record